GACGAACGCUGGCGGCGUGCCUAAUACAUGCAAGUUGAGCGAUGAAGAUUGGUGCUUGCACCAAUUUGAAGAGCAGCGAACGGGUGAGUAACGCGUGGGGAAUCUGCCUUUGAGCGGGGGACAACAUUUGGAAACGAAUGCUAAUACCGCAUAACAACUUUAAACAUAAGUUUUAAGUUUGAAAGAUGCAAUUGCAUCACUCAAAGAUGAUCCCGCGUUGUAUUAGCUAGUUGGUGAGGUAAAGGCUCACCAAGGCGAUGAUACAUAGCCGACCUGAGAGGGUGAUCGGCCACAUUGGGACUGAGACACGGCCCAAACUCCUACGGGAGGCAGCAGUAGGGAAUCUUCGGCAAUGGACGAAAGUCUGACCGAGCAACGCCGCGGGAGUGAAGAAGGUUUUCGGAUCGUAAAACUCUGUUGGUAGAGAAGAACGUUGGUGAGAGUGGAAAGCUCAUCAAGUGACGUUAACUACCCAGAAAGGGACGGCUAACUACGUG
This 497-nucleotide ribosomal RNA is filed under the name uncultured bacterium. Its description in RNAcentral is "partial 16S ribosomal RNA". It matches the Rfam family "Bacterial small subunit ribosomal RNA", at positions 28 to 507 of the family's 1533-position model. The record is from RNAcentral.